UACAUGGGUGGCUGAAUAACACCUACCUUGAGGGAGAUUCUGCAGUGAGAACAUCAUCGUAUGGGUCUAGUUUUCCUGCAUGUGGAAAUAAUUUACCCUUCUUGUGAGAGGAAUGUGCAUAUGUACUUAGAAAGCGAAGUGGUUUUUGUGUUGUUGUUUUUUUUUUUGCAGGGGCCUGAGUGGAAUGGGGUUUAUGUUCCAUGGCAACCACAUGUUUCACAGAAGUCUCACUCUCCCAGCUAGAGAGGUCUGAUACCAGCAGGCAGCAGGAGCUUCAGAUCUCACAAUGAGAAAGCAACAGAACGAUGUCUUCAAGUGAACUGUGUCUUCUGAAACUCGGAUGCCGAAGACAGAAGCAAUAGUGAAAAUGGAACAGUGUGGAAUGGUAUCAAGGAAGAAACGUUUCCUGAACUCUGAAGCUGGAAUGUCUGCUUUCAGAGAAGUGGCGGGGUCCUUGAGUGAUCCUGAGUGUUGAUGUGGAGCAAGCCUCAAAUCAGAGUAUCAGAUCACCAGCUGCAGUACCGGUUUCUGGAGGAUAAGAACUGGGUCCUUUAUUUUGCUCAUAAGGACCAUUUCAUACAGGAAAAAAAUGGAUCCAUGCAUGUGGUGACCUACGGUUCGGACUCAGGGUCGACAUGCACUAAAAGAAGCGUGAGGGCAGAGGGGGUGUCCUCUGUUGCUUUCUUGGCUUUUGAGGUCUCUGUCAGCUACUCAGGAUUUGUAACACCCCUCUAUGAUCCCGGCUAAAAAGCCAAGACUCUAAAAAUGUGCAAUACCAAAGGUUGUAGUUGCUGAGGCCAGCACCCUCUGAGACUCCAGAGAACACUUGAUGAUGUUAACAGAAAAACGAAGAAUGAUCUGGGGAGAGGAUGAAGUGAAAUGAUUUGUCCAGAGCCAUAUGUUUUACCAGCAUACUUUGGAAUAUAGCAGGUCAAUCUGCUAGUCCCUUAUUCUCUCUGCUUCUCCACCUGUGCAAUGGAAAUGAUCACAGCAGCUUCAUAAAG
This 1004-nucleotide long non-coding RNA is filed under the name Ovis aries (sheep). RNAcentral describes it as "lncRNA (ENSOARG00000025358.1)". Lineage: Eukaryota; Metazoa; Chordata; Mammalia; Artiodactyla; Bovidae. The record is from RNAcentral.